GACGAACGCUGGCGGCGUGCUUAACACAUGCAAGUCGAACGGAAAGGCGCUGAUUUUGUGCGCGGCUCGAGAGGCGAACGGGUGAGUGACACGUGAGUAACCUCCCCUUGACAUUCUGAUAACUUCAGGAAACUGGGGCUCAUAACCCAUAGGAGCUCCUGCAGCAUAUUGUGGGUUGGCAAGUUUCGGCGGUUGGGGAUGGACUCGCGGCUUAUCAGCUUGCUGGUGGGGUAGUGGCUUACCAAGGCUCUGACGGGUAGCCGGCCUGAGAGGGUGAGGGGCCACAUUGGGACUGAGAUAGGGCCCAGACUCCAACGGGAGGCAACGGUGGAGAAGAUUACACAGUGGGCGGGAGCCAGAUGCAGCGACGCGGCGUGCGGGAUAACGGGCUUCGAGUUGUAAACCAAUGUCGCCUGUGACGAAGAGUGAGUGACGGUAACGGGUAAGGAAGCACCGGCUAACUACGUG
This 468-nucleotide ribosomal RNA is filed under the name uncultured bacterium. Its description in RNAcentral is "partial 16S ribosomal RNA". It matches the Rfam family "Bacterial small subunit ribosomal RNA", at positions 28 to 507 of the family's 1533-position model. The record is from RNAcentral.